Molecule: ribosomal RNA, 265 nt
Filed under: uncultured bacterium
Lineage: Bacteria
Description: partial 16S ribosomal RNA
Rfam family: Bacterial small subunit ribosomal RNA
Source: RNAcentral
UUAGUGGCGGACGGGUGAGGUAACGCGUGGAGUAACCUAGCCGUAUACCGGGGAGUAACACUUAGAAAUAGGUGCUAAUACCGCAUAAGCGCACGGCUCCGCAUGGGGCAGUGUGAAAAACUCCGGUGGUAUACGAUGGAUCCGCGUCUGAUUAGCUAGUUGGCGGGGUAACGGCCCACCAAGGCAGCGAUCAGUAGCCGGCCUGAGAGGGUGGACGGCCACAUUGGGACUGAGACACGGCCCAAACUCCUACGGAAGGCAGCAG